CCUACGGGGGGCAGCAGUGGGGAAUAUUGCACAAUGGGGGAAACCCUGAUGCAGCGACGCCGCGUGAGUGAAGAAGUAUCUCGGUAUGUAAAGCUCUAUCAGCAGGGAAGAAAAUGACGGUACCUGACUAAGAAGCCCCGGCUAACUACGUGCCAGCAGCCGCGGUAAUACGUAGGGGGCAAGCGUUAUCCGGAUUUACUGGGUGUAAAGGGAGCGUAGACGGCGCUGCAAGUCCGGAGUGAAAGCCCAUGGCUUAACCAUGGUACUGCUCUGGAAACUGUGGAGCUUGAGUGCGGGAGGGGCAG
RNAcentral lists this ribosomal RNA (305 nucleotides) under uncultured bacterium. RNAcentral describes it as "bacterial SSU rRNA". It matches the Rfam family "Bacterial small subunit ribosomal RNA", at positions 338 to 660 of the family's 1533-position model. The record is from RNAcentral.